RNAcentral lists this ribosomal RNA (20 nucleotides) under Leptosphaeria sclerotioides. Its description in RNAcentral is "partial 18S ribosomal RNA". Lineage: Eukaryota; Fungi; Ascomycota; Dothideomycetes; Pleosporales; Leptosphaeriaceae. The record is from RNAcentral.
GGCGCUCCCCCUUGACCAUU